AUCGUCUUUUAGGAGAUUUU
RNAcentral lists this unclassified non-coding RNA (20 nucleotides) under Chlamydomonas reinhardtii. Its description in RNAcentral is "small RNA Cre_0705". Lineage: Eukaryota; Viridiplantae; Chlorophyta; Chlorophyceae; Chlamydomonadales; Chlamydomonadaceae. The record is from RNAcentral.